AUGGAAGACUACUUCACGGAGGUACCUACAUACCCUCCUCGUCUCUUCCGCAGAAGGUAUCGAAUGCGGCGUAGUUUGUUUGUGAAGAUUGUCACCGAUUGUGAGGCCGCCUCCUAUUACUUUAAACGUCGUAGAUCCGCCGCCGGUAUCAUGGGGUUUAGUGCAUAUCAAAAGAUAUCGGCGGCAAUGUGGGUACUCGCUUAUGGCAUACCCGCGGAUUAUACCGAUGAGUAUCUUCGCAUUGGGCAAGAUACAACUACGGAGUCAGUCCGUAGGUUUGCCAAGUUGGUCAUCCGGUUGUACGGUGAGCAGUAUCUUCGGGCACCAAACGAGGAAGAUACAAAGAGAUUAAUGGAAAUGAAUGAAAAAAGGGGAUGGCCGGGGAUGCUUGGUAGUCUUGAUUGCAUGCAUUGGAGGUGGAAAAAUUGCCCAAAGGCAUGGCACGGAAUGUAUUGCGGUAAAAGCCGUGAUGCUACCAUUGUGCUUGAGGCCGUAGCAUCUCAGGACACAUGGAUUUGGCAUGCAUUCUUUGGGUUGUCGGGAACACUCAAUGAUAUCAAUAUCCUCAAUAGAUCUCCUUUGUUCAGAAGAUUAAUUUCUGGGGAUGCUCCAGCUUGCAACUACAAAAUCAUGGACAAUGAGUACUCAAUGGGAUACUAUCUCACCGAUGGCAUCUAUCCCGAAUGGGCAACUCUUGUGAAGUCCAUCAAGGAGAAAAAUGGGGUGCCCUUAACAAGAAAAGAGGCUCAUUUCACCAAGGCACAAGAGGCAGCCCGCAAGGAUAUUGAGAGAGCUUUCGGUGUUUUGCAAGCAAGGUUUGCCAUAGUUCGUGGUCCAGCUCGGUUUUGGGACAAAAAAAGCUUGGUGAACAUCAUGAAAUGUUGUGUGAUUCUACACAACAUGAUCCUAGAGGAUGAGAGAGGGUUAAACCUCCCUUGUUUCUAUGACAAUGUUGGUACCCGUGUGCAACCGGAAAGAAACCCUUCUCGCAUACACGCUUUUCUUCAAGCACAUUGUGAGAUUGAGGAUGCAACCACUCAUGGUCGGCUCCGGGAUGAUCUAGUAGAGCACCACUGGCAGUUGGAUGGGCGGCGCAUUGGCCCAUGA
This 1107-nucleotide ribosomal RNA is filed under the name Triticum aestivum (bread wheat). RNAcentral's name for it is "partial small subunit ribosomal RNA". The record is from RNAcentral. Lineage: Eukaryota; Viridiplantae; Streptophyta; Magnoliopsida; Poales; Poaceae.